Molecule: ribosomal RNA, 468 nt
Filed under: uncultured bacterium
Lineage: Bacteria
Description: partial 16S ribosomal RNA
Rfam family: Bacterial small subunit ribosomal RNA (bases 13-373)
Source: RNAcentral
GACGAACGCUGGCGGCGUGCUUAACACAUGCAAGUCGAACGGAAAGGCCCUGCUUUUGUGGGGUGCUCGAGUGGCGAACGGGUGAGUAACACGUGAGUAACCUGCCCUUGACUUUGGGAUAACUUCAGGAAACUGGGGCUAAUACCGGAUAGGAGCUCCUGCUGCAUGGUGGGGGUUGGAAAGUUUCGGCGGUUGGGGAUGGACUCGCGGCUUAUCAGCUUGUUGGUGGGGUAGUGGCUUACCAAGGCUUUGACGGGUAGCCGGCCUGAGAGGGUGACCGGCGUGAGUGGGAAGGAGAGACGGUGCAGAGUGAGAAGGGAGGAGGGAGCGGGGAAUGUGGCAGGAUGGGAGGGAGCCUGAUGCAGCAACGGCGGGUGGGGGAGGGGGGGUGGCGGGGUGGGACACGAAUUAGACGGUGAAGAAGCGAGAGAGAAGGUGAGGAGUAACGGAAAACAGGAUAACGAAGUG